RNAcentral lists this ribosomal RNA (252 nucleotides) under uncultured bacterium. RNAcentral describes it as "partial 16S ribosomal RNA". It matches the Rfam family "Bacterial small subunit ribosomal RNA", at positions 524 to 776 of the family's 1533-position model. The record is from RNAcentral.
UACGUAGGGGGCAAGCGUUGUCCGGAAUUAUUGGGCGUAAAGCGCGUGUAGGCGGCCAGAUAAGUCCGCUGUGAAAUCUCGAGGCUCAACUUCGAGCUGUCGGUGGAAACUGUCUGGCUAGAGUCCGGAAGAGGAGAAUGGAAUUCCUGGUGUAGCGGUGAAAUGCGCAGAUAUCAGGAAGAACACCCGUGGCGAAGGCGGUUCUCUGGGACGGUACUGACGCUGAGACGCGAAAGCGUGGGAGCGAACAGG